AGCAAAGUUGAUUGUUCUCGAUAUAAAUGCCAUCUCACAUCGGAUUGCCAUAUUGUUGGUUGUGGAAUGUGUUUUCAUUUUGAUUCAGCUUCUAAUGUUGGAAGAUGUGGUGAUAGACUGGCUGUGUGACCAUGCAUGAGACUGGGACUAAAUAUUUCUUCAGUUCCAUUAUCAAAUUUCUUAGUUCUGGUCUCAUAUAGUGUUUAUUAAAUUAGUCACUUUACACUGUUUAUAUUAUAAAUCUAGUCUCAGGUCAUGUUCUUCUUAUAAAUUACUGAUUCUGGUCCCAUUUGAUCCCAUUUUGUUAAAAUGGGACCAAAUGGGACCAUGAUUUACCCUAUAU
RNAcentral lists this small RNA (343 nucleotides) under Histoplasma ohiense. RNAcentral describes it as "hypothetical lncRNA". The record is from RNAcentral. Lineage: Eukaryota; Fungi; Ascomycota; Eurotiomycetes; Onygenales; Ajellomycetaceae.